GUGGGGAAUCUUGCGCAAUGGGCGAAAGCCUGACGCAGCCAUGCCGCGUGAAUGAUGAAGGUCUUAGGAUUGUAAAAUUCUUUCACCGGGGACGAUAAUGACGGUACCCGGAGAAGAAGCCCCGGCUAACUUCGUGCCAGCAGCCGCGGUAAUACGAAGGGGGCUAGCGUUGCUCGGAAUUACUGGGCGUAAAGGGAGCGUAGGCGGAUAGUUCAGUCAGAGGUGAAAGCCCAGGGCUCAACCUUGGAAUUGCCUUUGAUACUGGCUGUCUUGAGUAUGGGAGAGGUUAGCGGAACUCCGAGUGUAGAGGUGAAAUUCGUAGAUAUUCGGAAGAACACCAGUGGCGAAGGCGGCUAACUGGCCCAUUACUGACGCUGAGGUGCGAAAGCGUGGGGAGCAAACAGGAUUAGAUACCCGUGUAGUCC
RNAcentral lists this ribosomal RNA (425 nucleotides) under uncultured bacterium. RNAcentral describes it as "partial 16S ribosomal RNA". It matches the Rfam family "Bacterial small subunit ribosomal RNA", at positions 354 to 796 of the family's 1533-position model. The record is from RNAcentral.